GUGGGGAAUAUUGGACAAUGGGCGAAAGCCUGAUCCAGCCAUGCCGCGUGUGUGAAGAAGGUCUUCGGAUUGUAAAGCACUUUAAGUUGGGAGGAAGGGCAGUAAGUUAAUACCUUGCUGUUUUGACGUUACCGACAGAAUAAGCACCGGCUAACUUCGUGCCAGCAGCCGCGGUAAUACGAAGGGUGCAAGCGUUAAUCGGAAUUACUGGUCGUAAAGCGCGCGUAGGUGGUUCAGUAAGUUGGAAGUGAAAUCCCCGGGCUCAACCUGGGAACUGCUUUCAAAACUGCUGAGCUAGAGUACGGUAGAGGGUGGUGGAAUUUCCUGUGUAGCGGUGAAAUGCGUAGAUAUAGGAAGGAACACCAGUGGCGAAGGCGACCACCUGGACUGAUACUGACACUGAGGUGCGAAAGCGUGGGGAGCAAACAGGAUUAGAAACCCGGGUAGUCC
Molecule: ribosomal RNA, 450 nt
Filed under: uncultured bacterium
Lineage: Bacteria
Description: partial 16S ribosomal RNA
Rfam family: Bacterial small subunit ribosomal RNA
Source: RNAcentral